This 253-nucleotide ribosomal RNA is filed under the name uncultured bacterium. RNAcentral describes it as "partial 16S ribosomal RNA". It matches the Rfam family "Bacterial small subunit ribosomal RNA", at positions 524 to 776 of the family's 1533-position model. The record is from RNAcentral.
GACAGAGGGUGCAAACGUUGCUCGGAAUCACUGGGCGUAAAGGGCGCGUAGGCGGGCUGUCAAGUCUGGGGUGAAAUGCCGCGGCUCAACCGUGGAACUGCCUUAGAUACUGACGGCCUCGAGGAAGGUAGGGGCAUGCGGAACUGUAGGUGGAGCGGUGAAAUGCGUUGAUAUCUACAGGAACUCCGGUGGCGAAAGCGGCGUGCUGGACCUCUUCUGACACUGAGGCGCGAAAGCCAGGGGAGCAAACGGG